RNAcentral lists this ribosomal RNA (503 nucleotides) under uncultured bacterium. RNAcentral describes it as "partial 16S ribosomal RNA". It matches the Rfam family "Bacterial small subunit ribosomal RNA", at positions 30 to 523 of the family's 1533-position model. The record is from RNAcentral.
AUUGAACGCUGGCGUCAGGCUUAACACAUGCAAGUCGAGCGGGGUGAUGGUGCUUGCACUAUCACUUAGCGGCGGACGGGUGAGUAAUGCUUAGGAAUCUGCCUAUUAGUGGGGGACAACAUCUCGAAAGGGAUGCUAAUACCGCAUACGCCCUACGGGAGAAAGCAGGGGAUCACUUGUGACCUUGCGCUAAUAGAUGAGCCUAAGUCGGAUUAGCUAGUUGGUGGGGUAAAGGCCUACCAAGGCGACGAUCUGUAGCGGGUCUGAGAGGAUGAUCCGCCACACUGGGACUGAGACACGGCCCAGACUCCUACGGGAGGCAGCAGUGGGGAAUAUUGGACAAUGGGGGGAGCCCUGAUCCUGCCAUGCCGCGUGUGUGAAGAAGGCCUUAUGGUUGUAAAGCACUUUAAGCGAGGAGGAGGCUCUUUUGGUUAAUACCCAAGAUGAGUGGACGUUACUCGCAGAAUAAGCACCGGCUAACUCUGUGCCAGCCGCCGCUGUAA